RNAcentral lists this ribosomal RNA (253 nucleotides) under uncultured bacterium. Its description in RNAcentral is "partial 16S ribosomal RNA". It matches the Rfam family "Bacterial small subunit ribosomal RNA", at positions 524 to 776 of the family's 1533-position model. The record is from RNAcentral.
UACGUAGGGCGCAAGCGUUGUCCGGAAUUAUUGGGCGUAAAGAGCUCGUAGGCGGUUUGUCGCGUCUGGUGUGAAAACUCGAGGCUCAACCUCGAGCUUGCAUCGGGUACGGGCAGACUAGAGUGCGGUAGGGGAGACUGGAAUUCCUGGUGUAGCGGUGGAAUGCGCAGAUAUCAGGAGGAACACCGAUGGCGAAGGUAGGUCUCUGGGCCGCAACUGACGCUGAGGAGCGAAAGCAUGGGGAGCGAACAGG